RNAcentral lists this ribosomal RNA (468 nucleotides) under uncultured bacterium. Its description in RNAcentral is "partial 16S ribosomal RNA". It matches the Rfam family "Bacterial small subunit ribosomal RNA", at positions 28 to 507 of the family's 1533-position model. The record is from RNAcentral.
GACGAACGCUGGCGGCGUGCUUAACACAUGCAAGUCGAACGGUGAAGCUCCAGCUUGCUGGAGUGGAUCAGUGGCGAACGGGUGAGUAACACGUGAGCAACCUGCCCCUGACUCUGGAAUAAGCGCUGGAAACGGCGUCUAAUACUGGAUACGAGAAGGGUCCGCAUGGGCACUUUCUGGAAAGUUUUUCGGUUGGGGAUGGGCUCGCGGCCUAUCAGCUUGUUGGUCAGGUAAUGGCUCACCAAGGCGACGACGGGUAGCCGGCCUGAGAGGGCGACCGGCCACACUGGGACUGAGACACGGCCCAGACUCCUACGGGAGGCAGCAGUGGGGAAUAUUGCACAAUGGGCGAAAGCCUGAUGCAGCGACGCCGCGUGAGGGAUGACGGCCUUCGGGUUGUAAACCUCUUUCAGCAGGGAAGAAGCGAAAGUGACGGUACCUGCAGAAGAAGCACCGGCUAACUACGUG